Molecule: ribosomal RNA, 422 nt
Filed under: uncultured bacterium
Lineage: Bacteria
Description: partial 16S ribosomal RNA
Rfam family: Bacterial small subunit ribosomal RNA
Source: RNAcentral
AAUAUUGGACAAUGGGCGAAAGUCUGAUCUAGCCAUGCCGCGUGUGUGAAGAAGGUCUUCGGUUUGUAAAGCACUUUAAGUUGGGAGGAAGGGGUUGAAGCUAAUACCUUCAAUCUUUGACGUUACCAACAGAAUAAGCACCGGCUAACUCUGUGCUAGCAGCCGCAGUAAUACAGAGGGUGCAAGCGUUAAUCAGAAUUACUGGGCGUAAAGCGCGCGUACGUAGUUCAGUAAGAUAGAAGUGAAAUCCCCGAGCUUAACCUGGGAACUGCUUUCAUAACUUCUGAGCUAGAGUACGGUAGAGGGUAGUGGAAUUUCCUGUGUAGCGGUGAAAUGCGUAGAUAUAGGAAGGAACGCCAGUGGCGAAGGCGACUACCUGGACUGAUACUGACACUGAGGUGCGAAAGCGUGGGGAGCAAACA